RNAcentral lists this ribosomal RNA (613 nucleotides) under Planomicrobium okeanokoites. RNAcentral describes it as "bacterial SSU rRNA". It matches the Rfam family "Bacterial small subunit ribosomal RNA", at positions 56 to 655 of the family's 1533-position model. The record is from RNAcentral. Lineage: Bacteria; Bacillati; Bacillota; Bacilli; Caryophanales; Caryophanaceae.
UGCAGUCGAGCGGAACUGUGGAGCUUGCUCCAUUGUCUUAGCGGCGGACGGGUGAGUAACACGUGGGCAACCUGCCCUGCAGAUCGGGAUAACUCCGGGAAACCGGUGCUAAUACCGAAUAGUUUUUUGCCCCUCCUGGGGCGAAACGGAAAGACGGUUUCGGCUGUCACUGCAGGAUGGGCCCGCGGCGCAUUAGCUAGUUGGUGGGGUAAUGGCCCACCAAGGCGACGAUGCGUAGCCGACCUGAGAGGGUGAUCGGCCACACUGGGACUGAGACACGGCCCAGACUCCUACGGGAGGCAGCAGUAGGGAAUCUUCCGCAAUGGACGCAAGUCUGACGGAGCAACGCCGCGUGAGUGACGAAGGUUUUCGGAUCGUAAAACUCUGUUGUGAGGGAAGAACAAGUACCAACUAACUACUGGUACCUUGACGGUACCUCACCAGAAAGCCACGGCUAACUACGUGCCAGCAGCCGCGGUAAUACGUAGGUGGCAAGCGUUGUCCGGAAUUAUUGGGCGUAAAGCGCGCGCAGGCGGUCCCUUAAGUCUGAUGUGAAAGGCCACGGCUCAGCCGUGGAGGGUCAUUGUAUACUGGCGGACUUGAGUGCACGAAA